GAUGAACGCUGGCGGCGUGCCUAAUACAUGCAUGUCGAGCGAACAGACGAGGAGCUUGCUCCUCUGACGUUAGCGGCGGACGGGUGAGUAACACGUGGAUAACCUACCUAUAAGACUGGGAUAACUUCGGGAAACCGGAGCUAAUACCGGAUAAUAUAUUGAACCGCAUGGUUCAAUAGUGAAAGACGGUUUUGCUGUCACUUAUAGAUGGAUCCGCGCCGCAUUAGCUAGUUGGUAAGGUAACGGCUUACCAAGGCAACGAUGCGUAGCCGACCUGAGAGGGUGAUCGGCCACACUGGAACUGAGACACGGUCCAGACUCCUACGGGAGGCAGCAGUAGGGAAUCUUCCGCAAUGGGCGAAAGCCUGACGGAGCAACGCCGCGUGAGUGAUGAAGGUCUUCGGAUCGUAAAACUCUGUUAUUAGGGAAGAACAAAUGUGUAAGUAACUAUGCACGUCCUGACGGUACCUAAUCAGAAAGCCACGGCUAACUACGUG
RNAcentral lists this ribosomal RNA (497 nucleotides) under uncultured bacterium. RNAcentral's name for it is "partial 16S ribosomal RNA". It matches the Rfam family "Bacterial small subunit ribosomal RNA", at positions 28 to 507 of the family's 1533-position model. The record is from RNAcentral.